CUUUGCCCUCACCCCAAAUGAGAAGAGAAGAGAAGAGUAAGAAGGCCAAAAGGAAUCAUAGACAAACAAGACAACUUUCAAAGAUCCCAUUGAUUGGCUUCUGAAGAUCCCCACCAGGUAUAUUCUCAUGAUGUCAACCACUAGGCAAAAAGAUACCCUGGUUCAAAGCAUCUCAUGUUACAUAUAAGGUCUUUAAGAAAGGGUUAUGUAGUCUUGGCUCUGACUGAAGUCCUUGGAUGUGGAAUCUCUGAGGGCACUUCACAGCAAGGUAAACAUCACGUCUGUGAGAGUCGAGGCAGCCCCCCGACCCGCAAGGAGGGAAAGAGGCUGAAGCUUGAGAGCCUCAAUGAAAUCUCUCAACACCGUAUUCAGAUUUAUCUCAUUCAGACUCUGAUGAAGAUGAGAUAUCCAAAGAACAAACCAAGGUCCUGACAGCCAGCAUGCCAUUUAAUGUUAUUGGUUCUAACCAGCUCGUUGAGGUCAAAGGAAAAAAAAGAUCAGAGGCCACCUGUAUCCUUGGAGUGGUUCAAGUUGAGAACCCAGAAAGCAAUGAUUUCCUUAAGUUGCCAACUGUGUUGGGAACACACAUGUAGGACCUGCAAGAAGUGACCCAGGAUUUGCAUUAUGAGAACUUCUCAUUGGAGCAGCUGAAACGUAGCCAUAGACUUGAAGGGGACCAGGUGGUCAACAAGGACUGGAUCCUUCAGUAGGAGGCUGAGCAGCAAAGGAUGCAGGAGAUGAUUGCACAGAUGCAAGCCCAGAUGCAGAUGAAGCCUGAG
RNAcentral lists this long non-coding RNA (779 nucleotides) under Monodelphis domestica (gray short-tailed opossum). RNAcentral describes it as "lncRNA (ENSMODG00000048566.1)". The record is from RNAcentral. Lineage: Eukaryota; Metazoa; Chordata; Mammalia; Didelphimorphia; Didelphidae.